This 1294-nucleotide long non-coding RNA is filed under the name Ursus maritimus (polar bear). RNAcentral's name for it is "lncRNA (ENSUMAG00000018920.1)". The record is from RNAcentral. Lineage: Eukaryota; Metazoa; Chordata; Mammalia; Carnivora; Ursidae.
AAAUCACCCUCAAAGAGGAUACAUUUUUGUGUGGGAAGACUGAUAAAGAAACCAAGAACAGAUAUGCCCUGUGAUAAGUACUGGGAAGAAAAAUUAAACAGGGAGUGUGAUUUUAUGUCCAAUGGUCAGAGAGGGCUGUGUGAUAGGGUGACGGUUGUGGUCAGCUGCAAGGGAUUAGGGUCUAUCUACAAGAACGUAAUCCGUGUAAGGACAGACCCUGCGCUCUUGCUCAUCCCUGCAGCUCCAGUCCCCCGCAGAAGUUCUGGUUCCUGGGAGGUACUCAAUAAAUAUUUGGUGAAUGAGUGAAUGAACAAGCAGCCAUUGUCUCAGAUGUGCUGGGGAAAUAUCCACUUUAAGCUAGUUCCGCUUUUUGGACUGGGACUCGCUGAGUCAGGGGUUCAAAGAGAACAGCAUGAGGAUGGGAGUGGCAGAUGUCAUCUGCGGCAGAUGGUGAUGCCCCAGGGACCAACUGUGGCCUUGAAGAUGCUUCCCUCCACCCCCUCUGGCUCAGAAAUCAAGGUCAGGGGCAGACAACCAAGCUCAGUUCCCUGGGGUCCCGAUCCCAGCCUCUCAACCAGGCCAGCCCUUCCUGACAACAUCACCCGUGUUCCACCCUUGGACUCCACACCAGGCUCAGCAGAGUCUCAGAGGCCAAGGGUGUGAGAAGAAUCAUCCCAGCAUCUGUUAUUAACCAUUAUUUCCAUUCUUUUGGCCGAGCUCCCCCCUCGGCCCCAAAGACUCUGGGUCAGCGUUUCUUUCAGCACAAACGACCGAUUUGCCCAGGCCUUUGUUCAGCCUCACAAAAGAAGAGGAUGAUUAUUAAAAGAACAGAUUUUGCAUUCCAUCUUUACCCCAGAUGACAUUGCCUUGAUCCCUAAAAUAACUCCAGAUCUCCUGGGUGGAACUGGUUCGUUGCUUUUCAUCUUCGCUAUUUUGCAACUGUUUAUGGAGACCAUCACCAUAGCGAUAUUAUCAGAGCAGGUCAAAUGAAACUCCAAACCCUUGGGUUGUUAUUGGUUUUUCCUUUGUACCUCGGAACAUGACUUUUUCACCCCAAACCAGCUCUUUCAUUGCUUAUGAGCACUUCAGUUCUCAGCUCCAAGUCAGGAGCAGCCCCUUCUGACCGAUUCACAGAGGUGGUCCACGCUGGGACGAGGGCUGGAAGUGUUUGAGCUAAGUUUCCAAACUGGAAAACACAUUUACCAGAAAUCUCCUUUCCUUCAGAUAAAACUUGGGUCAGAGAUUCAGGGUGUUGAAAGAGGCACUAAAUAAAUAAGAAUCUGAAGGACCUUCA